Molecule: non-coding RNA, 104 nt
Filed under: Leptotrombidium deliense
Lineage: Eukaryota; Metazoa; Arthropoda; Arachnida; Trombidiformes; Trombiculidae
Source: RNAcentral
GCUGGGUGCCAUGGCAUACACCUGUAAUCCUCGAGACUUGGGAGGCUGAGGCAGGAGGAUUGUAAGUUAAAGGCCAGCCUCCAACUUAAUAAGACCCUGUCUCA